GCAGGAGUCAGUCCUAGUCAGGACACAGCAUGGACAUGAGGGUCCCCGCUCAGCUCCUGGGGCUGCUGCUGCUCUGGCUGCCAGGUACCAGAUGUGACAUCCAGACGACUCAGUCUCCAUCCUCCCUGUCUGCAUCUCCUGGAGAUACAGUCACCAUCACUUGCAGAGCCAGUCAGAACAUUUACAGUGGUUUAAAUUGGUAUCAGCAGAAACCAGGGAAAGCUCCUAAACUCCUGAUCUAUGCUGCAAGCAAUUUGGUAUCUGGGGUGCCAUCCAGGUUUAGCGGCAGUGGAUCUGGGACAAGUUACACUCUCACCAUCAGCAGCCUGCAGCCUGAAGAUGUUGCAACUUACUACUGUGAACAAGGUUAUAGUACCCCGCCCACAGUGAUACAAGCCAUGACAUAA
Molecule: non-coding RNA, 407 nt
Organism: Chinchilla lanigera (long-tailed chinchilla)
Lineage: Eukaryota; Metazoa; Chordata; Mammalia; Rodentia; Chinchillidae
Source: the annotation of a RefSeq genome assembly